UACGUAGGGUGCGAGCGUUGUCCGGAAUUAUUGGGCGUAAAGGGCUCGUAGGCGGUUUGUCGCGUCGGGAGUGAAAACUCAGGGCUUAACCCUGAGCCUGCUUCCGAUACGGGCAGACUAGAGGUAUGCAGGGGAGAACGGAAUUCCUGGUGUAGCGGUGAAAUGCGCAGAUAUCAGGAGGAACACCGGUGGCGAAGGCGGCUCUCUGGUACGUGACUGACGCUGAGACGCGAAAGCGUGGGGAGCGAACAGG
Molecule: ribosomal RNA, 253 nt
Filed under: uncultured bacterium
Lineage: Bacteria
Description: partial 16S ribosomal RNA
Rfam family: Bacterial small subunit ribosomal RNA
Source: RNAcentral